RNAcentral lists this long non-coding RNA (384 nucleotides) under Homo sapiens (human). RNAcentral describes it as "long non-coding RNA NONHSAT152871". The record is from RNAcentral. Lineage: Eukaryota; Metazoa; Chordata; Mammalia; Primates; Hominidae.
CAUCCUCUUCUGGAUCAAAAUCUGGAUUAUCACUUGGAGGAAGUGUACGGAAGAUGUUAGCACUGAUUUUUUACUAUAUCAGAAUACGCUGAUUCAACAAUUACACCACGAUUAGUUGAAACAUACUCAACCAGUUCAUUCAGUGUUGCUCUUUUAAUUUCUUUGCUCUUCAAGUCUGAAACAGAGUCCAUGAAAUCAAACAGUAUACAACACUGCUGCAACUUCUGACAGAAAAGCUCUUGUUGUUCAUUUGAAGUGGCAUCCCUUUGAGCUGGGGCAGCGGGUGCAGCUCUGCCUGGCUGCCCUGGCUGCGAAACUGCGACGAGCCCUGGGAGCGCUUCUGCCUCUGCGCCUUGCGGACCGAUUUCCGGGUGAAGCCGUCCA